This is a long non-coding RNA of Aricia agestis (brown argus), 309 nucleotides long. RefSeq lists it as uncharacterized. The record is from RefSeq and is a predicted model, not a curated record. The transcript has 2 exons. Lineage: Eukaryota; Metazoa; Arthropoda; Insecta; Lepidoptera; Lycaenidae.
CUAGAUUAUAAAAUAUUGUAGUGUCUUGAAUUAUACUCGUAGUCAGCAUGAACAACGCAUUAGCAAUUGUCAUUAUGGCUCUGAUGUGUUUCCAAGCAGUAUGUGGCCACGUCACAUACAGUUAUUUAACAGCAGGCGGACAUCCCAGCCAUACUACUAAAGUGUUUCCUACUUUCUUCGAAGAGGCUACUGUCAAAAAGAAGUUUUCCAACCUGGAUGUGAUCUCUGGAACACUCGCCCAUGGUACCACAAUCGGUGUUAUAAGUAACGCAGCGCAUGGAAAAAAGAGUAAGCAGAAAUAAAUUGAUA